AUGGAAGUUAUGAAUCCAAGACCUGAUCAAUACAUAGAAGCAAACCAAAUCAUCAGUAUGACGUGCAGAAAUAAAAUAACUUCAUUCAUCAUUCUAUGCCACCUAAGAUAUUACAACCUCUUACAUUAUGUUUGGGAGGAGUGUAUGGAGGUAAGGUAAGAUUUUUUAAAGUAAGGUAAGACAAAGUAAUUGAAGGUAAAGUAGAAUUUUUUUAAUCUCAUUUUGUUUGGGAGGAAGGUAUGGUAAAUGAUGAUUUAGUAUUUUUAUAUGGUUUAGGUGGAAGGUAGGGAAGGUAAAGUUAGAUACAAUAUUACCUAAAUAUCCCUUAUUAUGUAAAGGGAUAUGCUUUAAUAUUUAAAUAAUCAUAAUUACAAAAAUUUUAAAAUCUAUUAAUGAUAAUAUGGGUAAUAAAUAAAUUAUGGCUUAUUAAAACCUUCAAAACCCUUAAUUUGGAGUGUUGAAAAGUGAGGGUUUUGGAGGUUUUGAAAACCCUCA
RNAcentral lists this unclassified non-coding RNA (495 nucleotides) under Hevea brasiliensis (rubber tree). The record is from RNAcentral. Lineage: Eukaryota; Viridiplantae; Streptophyta; Magnoliopsida; Malpighiales; Euphorbiaceae.